AGCAGCCGCGGUAAUUCCAGCUCCAAUAGCGUAUAUUAAAGUUGUUGCAGUUAAAAAGCUCGUAGUUGAAUUUCGGGGUUAGUAGGUUGGUCAUGCCUCUGGUAUGUACUGGUCUCACUGAUUCCUCCUUCCUGAUGAACCUUAAUGCCAUUAAUUUGGUGUUUUGGGGAAUUUGGACUGUUACUUUGAAAAAAUUAGAGUGUUUAAAGCAAGCUAACGCUUGAAUACAUUAGCAUGGAAUAAUGAAAUAGGACGUUCGAUCCUAUUUUGUUGGUUUCUAGGAUUGACGUAAUGAUUAAUAGGGAUAGUUGGGGGCAUUAGUAUUCAAUUGUCAGAGGUGAAAUUCUUGGAUUUAUUGAAGACUAACUACUGCGAAAGCAUUUGCCAAGGAUGUUUUCAUUAAUCAAGAACGAAAGUUAGGGGAUCGAAGACGAUCAGAUACCGUCGUAGUCUUUACCAUAAACUAUGCCGACUAGGGAUCGGAUGAUGUUAAUUUUUUAAUGACUCA
RNAcentral lists this ribosomal RNA (508 nucleotides) under uncultured Glomus. Its description in RNAcentral is "SSU rRNA". It matches the Rfam family "Eukaryotic small subunit ribosomal RNA", at positions 569 to 1078 of the family's 1831-position model. Lineage: Eukaryota; Fungi; Glomeromycota; Glomeromycetes; Glomerales; Glomeraceae. The record is from RNAcentral.